UCCCCCCUCCAAUCAGUGAAACUGAUCCCCUCGUGAAAAAGCGAGGAUGAUCAUAUUAGACGAGAAGACCCCAUGGAGCUUUAAACUUGCACCACUGCCCCUAUCUUCACCCAAAUAAUUACAGCACCUGGUAACAAGUCUUUCGGCUGGGGCGGCCACGGAGAAAAACUAAACCUCCAUGAUGAAAGGAACCCCCCCCCUAAUCAGAGGGCUACCACCCUAAGAAUCAAUAAAUUGACACAUUGACCCAAAUAUUCUUGAUCAACGAACCAAGUUACCCUGGGGAUAACAGCGCAAUCCAUUUCGAGAGACCCUAUCAACAAAUG
This 326-nucleotide ribosomal RNA is filed under the name Anodonthyla boulengerii (Boulenger's climbing frog). RNAcentral's name for it is "partial 16S ribosomal RNA". It matches the Rfam family "Archaeal large subunit ribosomal RNA", at positions 2096 to 2583 of the family's 2987-position model. Lineage: Eukaryota; Metazoa; Chordata; Amphibia; Anura; Microhylidae. The record is from RNAcentral.